Non-coding RNA from Oryza glaberrima (African rice), 158 nucleotides. The record is from Rfam. Lineage: Eukaryota; Viridiplantae; Streptophyta; Magnoliopsida; Poales; Poaceae.
AUACUUACCUGGACGGGGUUAAUGGGCGAUCAAGAAGGCUCAUGGCCUAGAUUAGUGGCCUCCAUUGCACUUAGGAGGAACGCUCGUCUACCAUCUCCCCAAGUGGGAGAGUGGACGUCAUAAUGUGGCAGAGGGGGUACGCGUUCGCGCGGCCCCUA